UACGUAGGGUGCAAGCGUUAAUCGGAAUUACUGGGCGUAAAGGGCGCGUAGGCGGCCAUCUAAGUCAGACGUGAAAUCCCCCGGCUUAACCUGGGAACUGCGUCUGAUACUGGAAGGCUCGAGUUUGGGAGAGGGAUGUGGAAUUCCAGGUGUAGCGGUGAAAUGCGUAGAUAUCUGGAGGAACACCGGUGGCGAAAGCGGCGUCCUGGCUCACUGUUGACGCUCAGACACGAAAGCAUGGGGAGCGAACGGG
This 253-nucleotide ribosomal RNA is filed under the name uncultured bacterium. RNAcentral's name for it is "partial 16S ribosomal RNA". It matches the Rfam family "Bacterial small subunit ribosomal RNA", at positions 524 to 776 of the family's 1533-position model. The record is from RNAcentral.